UUGGUUGAUUCCUGCCAGUAGUGUAUGCUUCUCCUAAAGACUAAGCCAUGCAUGCCCCGAAUAAGAGGUUUCUCUCUGAAUCUGCGAACGGCUCCGCAAACCAGUUGUAAACUAGAGCAAGUCAGUCCAGCGGGCUUCGGCCUCUGGGCGAUAUGGAUAACCCUGGUAAUUCUGAGGCUAAUACAAGACCGCAACACCGGGCAGACCAGCAAUGGAUGCUCGGGGAUGUGUGAUAUGGCUUGACGACACCGGGAAUGGGCGCACAUCUUGACCGCCUUUCAACAUGGAUCCGGGACUCCCCUCGGGGAACCUGGCCCUGGCGGCUCUUGCUGUGUGCUUCUGACCUAUCAACUAGACGGCAGCGUAACGGACAUGCUAUGGUGACAACGGGUACAGAGGAUUAGGGUUCGAUCCUGGAGAGUGGGCCUGAGAGAUUGCUCAUACUUCUAAGGAAGGCAGCAGGCGCGCAACGUUCCCCUUGGGCAAUGCCCGAGGGCGUUAGGGGACAUAUGAAUGCCUGCCCAUUGGGUGGGCAAUUCAAAUGGGUCUGUUGUAAACAGGCUCUCGAGUAACAAUUAGAGGGACAAGUCA
Molecule: ribosomal RNA, 591 nt
Filed under: Lamproderma arcyrioides
Lineage: Eukaryota; Evosea; Eumycetozoa; Stemonitida; Stemonitidae
Description: SSU rRNA
Rfam family: Eukaryotic small subunit ribosomal RNA
Source: RNAcentral